Molecule: ribosomal RNA, 450 nt
Filed under: uncultured bacterium
Lineage: Bacteria
Description: partial 16S ribosomal RNA
Rfam family: Bacterial small subunit ribosomal RNA
Source: RNAcentral
GUGGGGAAUAUUGGACAAUGGGCGAAAGCCUGAUCCAGCCAUGCCGCGUGUGUGAAGAAGGUCUUCGGAUUGUAAAGCACUUUAAGUUGGGAGGAAGGGCAGUAAGUUAAUACCUUGCUGUUUUGACGUUACCGACAGAAUAAGCACCGGCUAACUUCGUGCCAGCAGCCGCGGUAAUACGAAGGGUGCAAGCGUUAAUCGGAAUUACUGGGCGUAAAGCGCGCGUAGGUGGUUUUGUAAGUUGGAGGUGAAAUCCCCGGGCUCAACCUGUGAACUGCCUCAAAAACUGCAUGACUAGAGUACGGUAGAGGGUAGUGGAAUUUCCUGUGUAGCGGUGAAAUGCGUAGAUAUAGGAAGGAACACCAGUGGCGAAGGCGACUACCUGGACUGAUACUGACACUGAGGUGCGAAAGCGUGGGGAGCAAACAGGAUUAGAAACCCCUGUAGUCC